AGCUAAAGCUUAAACAAUUAUAUCUAACUCAUGAAAGAAUUCUUUAUUGAAAUGUAACUUAUCUUUUGAUGUAUCUGUAUGAGGCUAUGACGGGGAAUCAUAUAACAGAUGUUUUAAGAAGAUGCUCUUUUCAUGUUUAGCUUCUAUUUCAAAUCACCUAUAUUAUCAUAUAAUUUUAUUCUUAAAUUGUGCUUUUCAUUUUCCAAAGGGUGGCGAUUUUGUGUUUUCUUGUAAUUCUCUCUUUAAAAAAGAAGGAACUAUCCUUAUUGAUAAAAUUAUUUUUUAU
RNAcentral lists this long non-coding RNA (286 nucleotides) under Carica papaya (papaya). RNAcentral's name for it is "long non-coding RNA (CPAP_LNC010305)". The record is from RNAcentral. Lineage: Eukaryota; Viridiplantae; Streptophyta; Magnoliopsida; Brassicales; Caricaceae.